Molecule: ribosomal RNA, 432 nt
Filed under: Oeneis hora
Lineage: Eukaryota; Metazoa; Arthropoda; Insecta; Lepidoptera; Nymphalidae
Description: partial 16S rRNA
Source: RNAcentral
UUUUAUUUGAACUAAAAAAAAAUAUUACGCUGUUAUCCCUAAGGUAAUUUUUUCUUAUAAUCAUUAUUAAUGGAUCAUUUAAUCAUUUAUUUAUGUUUACUUUUUAAAAAAAGUUAAUUUAAUUUUUCUAUCACCCCAAUAUAAUAAUUAAUUUUAUUUUAAUAAAAAUUUUUAUAUAAUUUUAAAAUAAAAAUAAAUAUAAAACUCUAUAGGGUCUUCUCGUCUUUUAAAAUUAAUUUAGCUUUUUAACUAAAAAAUAAAAUUCUAAAAAUAAAUAAGAGACAGUUUAUAUUUCAUCAAAUCUUUCAUACAAGUUUCCAAUUAAAAAACUAUUGAUUAUGCUACCUUUGUACAGUCAUUAUACUGCAGCCCUUUAAUAUUUAUCAGUGGGCAGAUUAGACUUUAAAUUAUACCCAAAAAGACAUGUUUUUG